RNAcentral lists this ribosomal RNA (490 nucleotides) under uncultured bacterium. RNAcentral's name for it is "partial 16S ribosomal RNA". It matches the Rfam family "Bacterial small subunit ribosomal RNA", at positions 30 to 507 of the family's 1533-position model. The record is from RNAcentral.
AUUGAACGCUGGCGGCAGGCCUAACACAUGCAAGUCGAACGGUAACAGGAAGAAGCUUGCUUCUUUGCUGACGAGUGGCGGACGGGUGAGUAAUGUCUGGGAAACUGCCUGAUGGAGGGGGAUAACUACUGGAAACGGUAGCUAAUACCGCAUAACGUCGCAAGACCAAAGAGGGGGACCUUCGGGCCUCUUGCCCUCGGAUGUGCCCAGAUGGGAUUAGCUAGUAGGUGGGGUAACGGCUCACCUAGGCGACGAUCCCUAGCUGGUCUGAGAGGAUGACCAGCCACACUGGAACUGAGACACGGUCCAGACUCCUACGGGAGGCAGCAGUGGGGAAUAUUGCACAAUGGGCGCAAGCCUGAUGCAGCCAUGCCGCGUGGAUGAAGAAGGCCUUCGGGUUGUAAAGUACUUUCAGCGGGGAGGAAGGGAGUAAAGUUAAUACCUUUGCUCAUUGACGUUACCCGCAGAAGAAGCACCGGCUAACUCCGUG